AUUUACAGCCAAAUGGACAAUCAGCGUAAAAUCUUUUGGAGGCAUUGACCAAAAAGGGUAUUGCUGUUGCUAAAUUGUGUGUAUUGGAUAAAAACGUUAAAGAUCGUUUAGAGGAUAUUGAUAAUGUGUACACAGAAAUCAUUAAAUUUGUGGACGCCAGUGAUUCGAAGGUAAUACAAUUCUCUCUGUGGCAUGCUUAUGUCCAUGAACAGUAUGGUCGUAUGUAUAAAUAUUUG
This is a long non-coding RNA of Lucilia sericata (common green bottle fly), 236 nucleotides long. RefSeq lists it as uncharacterized. The record is from RefSeq and is a predicted model, not a curated record. The transcript has 2 exons. Lineage: Eukaryota; Metazoa; Arthropoda; Insecta; Diptera; Calliphoridae.